UGCGGAAUAGAGCAGUGGUAGCUCGCUAGGCUCAUAACCUAGAAGUCGGGUGGUUCGAAUCCCCCUUCCGCUA
RNAcentral lists this transfer RNA (73 nucleotides) under Gallicola sp. RNAcentral's name for it is "tRNA-Met". It matches the Rfam family "tRNA". From Rfam's summary of the family: Transfer RNA (tRNA) molecules are approximately 80 nucleotides in length. The record is from RNAcentral. Lineage: Bacteria; Bacillati; Bacillota; Tissierellia; Tissierellales; Peptoniphilaceae.